This 758-nucleotide ribosomal RNA is filed under the name uncultured Prevotella sp. RNAcentral's name for it is "bacterial SSU rRNA". It matches the Rfam family "Bacterial small subunit ribosomal RNA", at positions 28 to 776 of the family's 1533-position model. Lineage: Bacteria; Pseudomonadati; Bacteroidota; Bacteroidia; Bacteroidales; Prevotellaceae. The record is from RNAcentral.
GAUGAACGCUAGCUACAGGCUUAACACAUGCAAGUCGAGGGGCAGCAUGGAAGAAGCUUGCUUCUUCUGAUGGCGACCGGCGCACGGGUGCGUAACGCGUAUCAAACCUGCCUCAUACUCGGGGAUAGCCUUGCGAAAGUAAGAUUAAUACCCGAUGUUGUUAUGUUGCCGCAUGGUGAUAUAACCAAAGAUUUAUCGGUAUGAGAUGGUGAUGCGUCCGAUUAGGUAGUAGGCGGGGUAACGGCCCACCUAGCCUUCGAUCGGUAGGGGUUCUGAGAGGAAGGUCCCCCACACUGGAACUGAGACACGGUCCAGACUCCUACGGGAGGCAGCAGUGAGGAAUAUUGGUCAAUGGACGAAAGUCUGAACCAGCCAAGUAGCGUGCAGGAUGACGGCCCUCUGGGUUGUAAACUGCUUUUAGUUGGGAAUAAAAAAGAGGACGUGUCCUCUAUUGUAUGUACCUUCAGAAAAAGGACCGGCUAAUUCCGUGCCAGCAGCCGCGGUAAUACGGAAGGUCCAGGCGUUAUCCGGAUUUAUUGGGUUUAAAGGGAGCGUAGGCGGAUUAUUAAGUCAGUGGUGAAAGACGGUGGCUCAACCAUCGUUAGCCAUUGAAACUGGUAGUCUUGAGUGCAGACAGGGAUGCUGGAACUCGUGGUGUAGCGGUGAAAUGCUUAGAUAUCACGAUGAACUCCGAUCGCGAAGGCAGGUGUCCGGGCUGCAACUGACGCUGAGGCUCGAAAGUGUGGGUAUCAAACAGG